UACGUAGGAGGCGAGCGUUGUCCGGAAUUACUGGGCGUAAAGCGCGCGUAGGCGGGGCGCUGCGUCGGCGGUGAAAGCCCACGGCUCACCCGUGGGAGUGCCGCCGAUACGGGCGCUCUUGGAGGGCGGUAGGGGCCGGUGGAACGCCCGGAGUAGCGGUGAAAUGCGUUGAGAUCGGGCAGAACACCAGUGGCGAAGGCGGCCGGCUGGGCCGACCCUGACGCUGAGGCGCGAAAGCCAGGGGAGCGAACGGA
Molecule: ribosomal RNA, 254 nt
Filed under: uncultured bacterium
Lineage: Bacteria
Description: partial 16S ribosomal RNA
Rfam family: Bacterial small subunit ribosomal RNA
Source: RNAcentral